AAAAAAAAAGUAUAGUGCUGAGGAAGUACUUCUUCACUUUGGCAAUGUGAUAGCAAAAAGGCAAAAUGGUGGUUUUGUAUCCCUGGACAUCAAGCGUCAUACUGCAAAUUGUCUUACAAUGCUAAGUACCUCAAGUCUAUUCCUCAGUCCUGUAAUUAUCUGGUAUACUUCAAAAAGCAAACUCAGUUUUGUCUGGCAUAUGGACUGAAGCCCCACACAUUCCAUUGUGAAGGUAUCACUAAUGAUGUGCUAGUUCUCGAGGAUGUACCAGAGUGCUGCAGCUAACACCCGAUAACACUGCUCACUCCAGUGCUGGCACACUUUGCCUGCUGAGUGUAAAAUCUCUCAUGAAACAGAUCUGAAGCAAUAAUUGGGAUCUGCAUUGACUUGCAGGACCAUGAGGCAAGUAGCACAGAAAUCAGUUCUCUCUCAUACUUCUCUUUUAUGGAGGCUAAAUAGAUGUCUUUGAAUGUCG
Molecule: long non-coding RNA, 475 nt
Filed under: Anser brachyrhynchus (Pink-footed goose)
Lineage: Eukaryota; Metazoa; Chordata; Aves; Anseriformes; Anatidae
Description: lncRNA (ENSABRG00000009061.1)
Source: RNAcentral